This 357-nucleotide ribosomal RNA is filed under the name uncultured bacterium. RNAcentral describes it as "bacterial SSU rRNA". It matches the Rfam family "Bacterial small subunit ribosomal RNA", at positions 917 to 1268 of the family's 1533-position model. The record is from RNAcentral.
GGGCCCGCACAAGCGGUGGAGUAUGUGGUUUAAUUCGACGCAACGCGCAGAACCUUACCCAGCCUUGACAUCCCUGGACCGCCAUAGAGAUAUGGUUUUCUCCUUCACGGGAGACCGGGUGACAGGUGCUGCAUGGUUGUCGUCAGCUCGUGCCGUGAGGUGUCAGGUUAAGUCCUAUAACGAGCGCAACCCCUGUGGUUAGUUGCCAGCGAGUAAUGUCGGGAACUCUAGCCAGACUGCCGGUGCAAACCGCGAGGAAGGUGGGGAUGACGUCAAAUCAUCACGGCCCUUACGCCCCUGGGCCACACACGUGCUACAAUGGCAGGUACAGCAAGCAGCCACUCCGCGAGGAGGAGC